AAUGAACGCUGGCGGCGUGCCUAAUACAUGCAAGUCGAACGAACGAAUAAGAGCUUGCUCUUAUAAGUUAGUGGCGCACGGGUGAGUAAUAUAUAGCUAAUCUGCCUCUUAGUAGAGGAUAACAGUCGGAAACGAUUGCUAAUACUCUAUACUUCUGCUUUACAUAAGUAAAGUAGAGAAAGUUUUUCGCUAAGAGAUGAGGCUAUACUGUAUCAGCUAGUUGGUAAGGUAACGGCUUACCAAGGCUAUGACGCAUAACUGGUCUGAGAGGAUGAUCAGUCACAUUGGAACUGAGACACGGUCCAAACUCCUACGGGAGGCAGCAGUAGGGAAUAUUGCGCAAUGGGGGAAACCCUGACGCAGCAACGCCGCGUGGAGGAUGACACUUUUCGGAGCGUAAACUCCUUUUAUCGGGAAAGAAUAAUGACGGUACCCGAUGAAUAAGCACCGGCUAACUCCGUG
This 462-nucleotide ribosomal RNA is filed under the name uncultured bacterium. Its description in RNAcentral is "partial 16S ribosomal RNA". It matches the Rfam family "Bacterial small subunit ribosomal RNA", at positions 29 to 507 of the family's 1533-position model. The record is from RNAcentral.